Molecule: ribosomal RNA, 562 nt
Filed under: uncultured bacterium
Lineage: Bacteria
Description: partial 16S ribosomal RNA
Rfam family: Bacterial small subunit ribosomal RNA
Source: RNAcentral
CGUGCGGGAGACCGCAGGGGGGUAUUUUCCGCAGGGGGCGAAAGUGUGAUGGAGUGUCAUCGCGAGAAAGAUAGAGGUUAUGGUAUUGUAAAUGUCUUAUCUGGGGAUAUAAUGUGGUUGUCCCCGCAGGAUAAGGGGCGGAUAUCUAUGUGCGAGCCGGCGGGGUAACAGAGAGGUCCCGAGUGUUUUCGAGAUUUACGGGGUGUAAAGCGUCUGGAGGGAGUAAAGUGUGUGAGACGUGAAAGAGGGGGGCUCAAUCCAAAGUGCGUUUUUCAAUAUGAUUUUGGAGAUUGAGCAAGAUGUAUGCGGAAUUUAUGGAGCAGGUGUACAUUCAGUAGAUUCGGUAAAGCACCCCAAACGAGGNAGGCAGCACGGGGGGGGUCUAGUAGCUAUGUGAAGCGAAGGCCUGGGGAACGUAAGUGAUUACACAGGAGUGGGACACGGGCCUUUUAGAUGGAUGAAAGAGGGGUCGCACCGUGAGGGCCAUAUUCGCAGAAUUCGGCAUUCACGUCUCUUCAUUGGAGUGUGAUGGAAUUAUGCAACAACUGCUGCCUCCCGUAGG